RNAcentral lists this ribosomal RNA (460 nucleotides) under uncultured bacterium. RNAcentral describes it as "partial 16S ribosomal RNA". It matches the Rfam family "Bacterial small subunit ribosomal RNA", at positions 338 to 795 of the family's 1533-position model. The record is from RNAcentral.
CCUACGGGAGGCAGCAGUGAGGAAUAUUGGUCAAUGGGCGCGAGCCUGAACCAGCCAAGUAGCGUGAAGGAUGACUGCCCUACGGGUGGUAAACUUUUUUUAUAAAGGAAUAAAGUGAGGCACGUGUGACUUUUUGUAUGGACUUUAUGAAGAAGGAUCGGCUAACUUCGUGCCAGCAGCAGCGGUAAUACGGAGGAUCAGAGUGUUAUCCGGAUUUGUUGGGGUUAAAGGGAGCGUAGAUUGGUUGUUAAGUCAGUUGUGAAAGUUUGCGGCUCAACCGGAAAAUUGCAAUUGAUACUGGCAGCCUUGAGGACAGUUGAGGUAGGCGGAAUUCGUGGUGUAGCGGUGAAAUGCGUAGAUAUCACGAAGAACUCCGAUUGCGAAGGCAGCUUACUAGACUGCCACUGACAUUGAUGCUCGAAAGUGUGGGUAUCAAACAGGAUUAGAUACCCCAGUAGUC